CAGCCGCCGCGGGAAUACGUAGGUGGCAAGCGUUGUCCGGAAUUAUUGGGCGUAAAGGGCUCGCAGGCGGUUUCAUAAGUCUGAUGUGAAAGCCCCCGGCUCAACCGGGGAGGGUCAUUGGAAACUGGGAAACUUGAGUGCAGAAGAGGAGAGUGGAAUUCCACGUGUAGCGGUGAAAUGCGUAGAGAUGUGGAGGAACACCAGUGGCGAAGGCGACUCUCUGGUCUGUAACUGACGCUGAGGAGCGAAAGCGUGGGGAGCGAACAGGAUUAGAUACCCCGGUAGUCCCUGUCUCUUAUAC
This 301-nucleotide ribosomal RNA is filed under the name uncultured bacterium. RNAcentral's name for it is "partial 16S ribosomal RNA". It matches the Rfam family "Bacterial small subunit ribosomal RNA", at positions 509 to 807 of the family's 1533-position model. The record is from RNAcentral.